Non-coding RNA from Phrynosoma platyrhinos (Desert horned lizard), 74 nucleotides. Lineage: Eukaryota; Metazoa; Chordata; Lepidosauria; Squamata; Phrynosomatidae. The record is from the annotation of a GenBank genome assembly.
GCCAGUGUGGUGUAGUGGUUUGAGCACUUUGAACUGUGAUUAUGAAGAUCAGGGUUUGAAUCCUUGCUCAGCCA